CAGUUCAGAUUGCAGGCUGCAACUCGCCUGCAUGAAGUCGGAAUUGCUAGUAAUCGCAGAUCAGCAUGCUGCGGUGAAUACGUUCCCGGGCCUUGUACACACCGCCCGUCACACCAUGGGAGUCGGUAACACCCGAAGUCGGUAGCCUAACCGUAAGGAGGGCGCCGCCGAAGGUGGGAUUGAUGACUGGGGUGAAGUCGUAACAAGGUAGC
Molecule: ribosomal RNA, 212 nt
Filed under: uncultured bacterium
Lineage: Bacteria
Description: partial 16S ribosomal RNA
Rfam family: Bacterial small subunit ribosomal RNA
Source: RNAcentral